UACGAAGGGGGCUAGCGUUGCUCGGAAUCACUGGGCGUAAAGCGCACGUAGGCGGAUCGUUAAGUCAGGGGUGAAAUCCUGGAGCUCAACUCCAGAACUGCCUUUGAUACUGGCGACCUUGAGUUCGGGAGAGGUGAGUGGAACUGCGAGUGUAGAGGUGAAAUUCGUAGAUAUUCGCAAGAACACCAGUGGCGAAGGCGGCUCACUGGCCCGAUACUGACGCUGAGGUGCGAAAGCGUGGGGAGCAACAGG
This 252-nucleotide ribosomal RNA is filed under the name uncultured bacterium. Its description in RNAcentral is "partial 16S ribosomal RNA". It matches the Rfam family "Bacterial small subunit ribosomal RNA", at positions 524 to 775 of the family's 1533-position model. The record is from RNAcentral.